Molecule: ribosomal RNA, 492 nt
Filed under: uncultured bacterium
Lineage: Bacteria
Description: partial 16S ribosomal RNA
Rfam family: Bacterial small subunit ribosomal RNA
Source: RNAcentral
AGUGAACGCUGGCGGUAGGCCUAACACAUGCAAGUCGAACGGCAGCACAGUAAGAGCUUGCUCUUACGGGUGGCGAGUGGCGGACGGGUGAGGAAUACAUCGGACUCUACUUUUUCGUGGGGGAUCACGUAGGGAAACUUACGCUAAUAUAGCAUACGCCCUACGGGUGAAAGCAGGGGAUCUUCGGACCUUGUGCGAUUGAAUGAGCCGAUGUCGGAUUAGCUAGUUGGCGGGGUAAAGGCCCACCAAGUCGACGACCCGUAGCUGGUCUGAGAGGAUGAUCAGCCACACUGGAACUGAGACACGGUCCAGGCGCCUACGGUAGGCAGCAGUGGGGAAUAUUGGACAAUGGGCGCAAGCCUGAUCCAGCCAUACCGCGUGGGUUAAGAAGGCCUUCGGGUUGUAAAGCCCUUUUGUUGGGAAAGAAAAGCAGCAGGUUAAUACCCCGCUGUUCUGACGGUACCCAAAGAAUAAGCACCGGCUAACUUCGUG